GGCGGACGGGUGAGUAAUGCUUGGGAAUUUGCCUAGUAGUGGGGGACAACACGGGGAAACUCGUGCUAAUACCGCAUACGCCCUACGGGGGAAAGCGGGGGAUCUUCGGACCUCGCGCUAUUAGAUGAGCCCAAGUCGGAUUAGCUUGUUGGUGAGGUAAUGGCUCACCAAGGCCGCGAUCCGUAGCUGGUCUGAGAGGACGAUCAGCCACACUGGGACUGAGACACGGCCCAG
This 234-nucleotide ribosomal RNA is filed under the name uncultured bacterium. RNAcentral describes it as "partial 16S ribosomal RNA". It matches the Rfam family "Bacterial small subunit ribosomal RNA", at positions 97 to 334 of the family's 1533-position model. The record is from RNAcentral.